GAUGAACGCUGGCGGCGUGCUUAACACAUGCAAGUCGAACGGAAAGGCCAGUGCUUGCCCUGGUACUCGAGUGGCGAACGGGUGAGUAACACGUGGGUGAUCUGCCCUGCACUUCGGGAUAAGCCUGGGAAACUGGGUCUAAUACCGGAUAGGACAAUGGUUUGGAUGCCGUUGUGGAAAGUUUUUUCGGUGUGGGAUGAGCUCGCGGCCUAUCAGCUUGUUGGUGGGGUAAUGGCCUACCAAGGCGUCGACGGGUAGCCGGCCUGAGAGGGUGUACGGCCACAAUUGGGCUGGGAUAAGGGCCAGGCUCCCACGGGGGGGAGGAGGGGGGAAUAUUGCACAAUGGGCGCAAGCCUGAUGCAGCGACGCCGCGUGGGGGAUGACGGCCUUCGGGUUGUAAACUCCUUUCGCUAGGGACGAAGCGUAUUUGUGACGGUACCUGGAGAAGAAGCACCGGCUAACUACGUG
This 468-nucleotide ribosomal RNA is filed under the name uncultured bacterium. RNAcentral describes it as "partial 16S ribosomal RNA". It matches the Rfam family "Bacterial small subunit ribosomal RNA", at positions 28 to 507 of the family's 1533-position model. The record is from RNAcentral.